GUAUUAAAAAUUUGCCUUACGGCAGAUAAACAUUCAUUGUCUCAAUAUAGGGGGGGUUUGUAAGUCCCAAAGGCAGGUUUUUACCCCUAAAGCCUUUGAAAAAAAUUAAGUGCACAGGUGUAAAUAAAUCAGAAGAGUGAGCACAUGCAGAUAAACUGCCAGCAUCAACCCUCUGUAAAAAUUCAUUAAUGAUCCUUCCGCAGGUUCACCUACGGAAA
RNAcentral lists this unclassified non-coding RNA (218 nucleotides) under uncultured fungus. Its description in RNAcentral is "sequence contains ITS1". Lineage: Eukaryota; Fungi. The record is from RNAcentral.